GAUGAACGCUGGCGGCGUGCCUAAUACAUGCAAGUCGAGCGAACAGACGAGGAGCUUGCUCCUCUGGCGUUAGCGGCGGACGGGUGAGUAACACGUGGAUAACCUACCUAUAAGACUGGGAUAACUUCGGGAAACCGGAGCUAAUACCGGAUAAUAUAUUGAACCGCAUGGUUCAAUAGUGAAAGACGGUUUUGCUGUCACUUAUAGAUGGAUCCGCGCCGCAUUAGCUAGUUGGUAAGGUAACGGCUUACCAAGGCAACGAUGCGUAGCCGACCUGAGAGGGUGAUCGGCCACACUGGAACUGAGACACGGUCCAGACUCCUACGGGAGGCAGCAGUAGGGAAUCUUCCGCAAUGGGCGAAAGUCUGACGGAGCAACGCCGCGUGAGUGAUGAAGGUCUUCGGAUCGUAAAACUCUGUUAUUAGGGAAGAACAAAUGUGUAAGUAACUAUGCACGUCUUGACGGUACCUAAUCAGAAAGCCACGGCUAACUACGUG
This 497-nucleotide ribosomal RNA is filed under the name uncultured bacterium. Its description in RNAcentral is "partial 16S ribosomal RNA". It matches the Rfam family "Bacterial small subunit ribosomal RNA", at positions 28 to 507 of the family's 1533-position model. The record is from RNAcentral.